This is a long non-coding RNA of Ornithodoros turicata, 226 nucleotides long. RefSeq lists it as uncharacterized. The record is from RefSeq and is a predicted model, not a curated record. The transcript is spliced from 3 exons. NCBI's taxonomy places the organism in Eukaryota, Metazoa, Arthropoda, Arachnida, Ixodida, Argasidae.
GACGUGUUGUAACCCGCUUCUAAUAUUAAUUUUGUGUUCCUCGCAGUACGGCGACUGCAUGAUAGCGAUGGUACUUGCGAACUGGACAGAAGCUGCAUUGUUCGAUGAACAUGACAUCGAAGCCGCGACAAAAGCAGCUCGCUGCUCAUACGCCGCGAUGCGUAACAUGGAUGUGGUAUGGCACAUGACCAGCUACCUUAGAAAGAUUGCAGGUUAAGGCCCAUUC